This is a ribosomal RNA of Danio rerio (zebrafish), 115 nucleotides long. The record is from Ensembl. Lineage: Eukaryota; Metazoa; Chordata; Actinopteri; Cypriniformes; Danionidae.
GCCGGCAGCUAGCUCUCUGCAACUCUCACUUGGUCACCCACUGAAGCUAAGCACGGCUGUGCCCGGUCAGUACCUAUAUGGGAGACCACAUGGGAAAGCUAGGUUGAUGUUGGAA